GAGAAUGUUAUCACGGGAGACACACGGCGGGUGCUAACGUCCGUCGUGAAGAGGGAAACAACCCAGACCGCCAGCUAAGGUCCCAAAGUCAUGGUUAAGUGGGAAACGAUGUGGGAAGGCCCAGACAGCCAGGAUGUUGGCUUAGAAGCAGCCAUCAUUUAAAGAAAGCGUAAUAGCUCACUGGUCGAGUCGGCCUGCGCGGAAGAUGUAACGGGGCUAAACCAUGCACCGAAGCUGCGGCAGCGACGCUUAUGCGUUGUUGGGUAGGGGAGCGUUCUGUAAGCCUGUGAAGGUGUGCUGUGAGGCAUGCUGGAGGUAUCAGAAGUGCGAAUGCUGACAUAAGUAACGAUAAAGCGGGUGAAAAGCCCGCUCGCCGGAAGACCAAGGGUUCCUGUCCAACGUUAAUCGGGGCAGGGUGAGUCGACCCCUAAGGCGAGGCCGAAAGGCGUAGUCGAUGGGAAACAGGUUAAUAUUCCUGUACUUGGUGUUACUGCGAAGGGGGGACGGAGAAGGCUAUGUUGGCCGGGCGACGGUUGUCCCGGUUUAAGCGUGUAGGCUGGUUUUCCAGGCAAAUCCGGAAAAUCAAGGCUGAGGCGUGAUGACGAGGCACUACGGUGCUGAAGCAACAAAUGCCCUGCUUCCAGGAAAAGCCUCUAAGCAUCAGGUAACAUCAAAUCGUACCCCAAACCGACACAGGUGGUCAGGUAGAGAAUACCAAGGCGCUUGAGAGAACUCGGGUGAAGGAACUAGGCAAAAUGGUGCCGUAACUUCGGGAGAAGGCACGCUGAUAUGUAGGUGAAGUCCCUCGCGGAUGGAGCUGAAAUCAGUCGAAGAUACCAGCUGGCUGCAACUGUUUAUUAAAAACACAGCACUGUGCAAA
RNAcentral lists this ribosomal RNA (880 nucleotides) under Escherichia coli. RNAcentral's name for it is "partial 23S ribosomal RNA". It matches the Rfam family "Bacterial large subunit ribosomal RNA", at positions 965 to 1829 of the family's 2925-position model. Lineage: Bacteria; Pseudomonadati; Pseudomonadota; Gammaproteobacteria; Enterobacterales; Enterobacteriaceae. The record is from RNAcentral.